Small nucleolar RNA from Grammomys surdaster, 142 nucleotides. RefSeq annotates it as small nucleolar RNA SNORA48. NCBI's taxonomy places the organism in Eukaryota, Metazoa, Chordata, Mammalia, Rodentia, Muridae. The record is from RefSeq and is a predicted model, not a curated record. The transcript has a single exon.
UCCCUCGGCAAUGGGCAAGGAGACACUUUGUUGGUGGUGGUGUUCUUAUACUAGUCAGGGGCAGAGCAGAUAGCAGUCCUUUGUCCAUCUAGCUUGAUGCCUGGCUUGGUGGCCAAAGCUGUCAUGUGCCAAGGACUCAUAA